AGGGUUUGAUUCUGGCUCAGGAUGAACGCUAGCGGGAGGCUUAAUACAUGCAAGUCGAACGGUAACAAUUCGGUUGACGAGUGGCGCACGGGUGAGUAACGCGUACGCAACCUACCUUCAAGAGCGGGAUAGCCCCGGGAAACUGGGAUUAAUACCGCAUGGUAUCUGUAAGUCGCAUGGCUAACAGAUUAAAGUGUUAGCGGUGAGAGAUGGAUGUGCGUACCAUUAGAUAGUUGGUGAGGUAACGGCUCACCAAGUCAACGAUGGUUAGGGGGCGUGAGAGCGUGGUCCCCCACACGGGUACUGAGACACGGACCCGACUCCUACGGGAGGCAGCAGUAAGGAAUAUUGGACAAUGGACGAAAGUCUGAUCCAGCCAUCCCGCGUGCAGGAUGACGGCCCUAUGGGUUGUAAACUGCUUUUAUGAGAGAAGAAACGCCUUGAUUUAUCAGGGUCUGACGGUAUCUCAUGAAUAAGCACCGGCUAACUCCGUGCCAGCAGCCGCGGUAAUACGGAGGGUGCAAGCGUUAUCCGGAAUCACUGGGUUUAAAGGGUGCGUAGGCGGCAUAAUAAGUCAGAGGUGAAAGACUAUAGCUCAACUAUAGAAAUGCCUUUGAAACUGUUGUGCUUGAAAUAAAUCGAGGCUGGCGGAAUGUGGCAUGUAGCGGUGAAAUGCAUAGAUAUGCCAUAGAACACCAAUUGCGAAGGCAGCUGACUAGAUUUUAUUUGACGCUGAGGCACGAAAGCGUGGGGAGCGAACAGGAUUAGAUACCCUGGUAGUCCACGCCCUAAACGAUGCAUACUCGACGUGUACGUGAGCAUCCAAGGGAAACCGUUAAGUUAGCGACCUGGGGAGUACGUUCGCAAGAAUGAAACUCAAAGGAAAUGACGGGGGUCCGCACAAGUGGUGGAGCAUGUGGUUUAAUUCGAUGAUACGCGAGGAUCCUUACCUAGGCUCUAAAUGUUAGUGACCGGUACUGAAAGGUACUUUUCCUUCGGGACACGAAACAAGGUGCUGCAUGGUUGUCGUCAGCUCGUGCCGUGAGGUGUUGGGUUAAGUCCCGCAACGAGCGCAACCCUUAUCACUAGUUGCCAGCAUUUAAGGUGGGGACUCUAGUGAGGACUGCCGGCGUAAGCCGUGAGGAAGGUGGGGACGACGUCAAAUCAUCAUGGCCUUUAUGCCUAGGGCUACACACGUGCUACAAUGGCGAGUACAGAGGGUAGCGAAGCCGCAAGGUGGAGCCAAUCUCAUAAAACUCGUCCCAGUUCGGAUUGAAGUCUGGAACUCGACUUCAUGAAGGUGGAAUCGCUAGUAAUCGCGCAUCAGCCAUGGCGCGGUGAAUACGUUCCCGGACCUUGUACACACCGCCCGUCAAACCAUGGGAGUUGGGGGUGCCUGAAGAUGGUGGCCAUAUAGGAGCUAUCUAGGGUAAAACUGAUGACUGGGGUUAAGUCGUAACAAGGUAGCC
This 1469-nucleotide ribosomal RNA is filed under the name uncultured prokaryote. Its description in RNAcentral is "partial 16S ribosomal RNA". It matches the Rfam family "Bacterial small subunit ribosomal RNA". The record is from RNAcentral.